GCAAUUGCAUUGGGUUUUUUAUUAUUUGUAUAGCGGGAUCACGCAAAUACGCAGCUUAUCUGGAGCUCUGAUCCACCAUUGAAGACUUGUCAGUGUCUAUUUAUCAUUGCCACUAAAUCAGUGAUAUAUGUACACAUACAUAUAUAUAUAUAUGUAAUUAUAUACAUGUAAGACUAAAAUUAUAAAGUACAUAUAUAAGACUAAAACUGGCAUUCAGCCUUUACUACAUCUUCAUACCCAAAUAUAAAAAAGAAGAUGUGGUAUGAUUGCCAAUGAGACAACUAUCCACAAAAGACCAAAAUGACACAAACAUUAACAAUUAUAGGUCACCCUACGGCCUUCAACAAUGAGCAAAACCCAUACCGCAUAUAUAGUCAGCUAUAAAAGGCCCCGAUAAGACAAUGUAAAAAAAAUGAAUGAAAAACAAAUAUGUAACACAUAAACAAACGACAACCACUGAAUUACAGGCUCCUGACUUGGGACAGGCACAUACAUAAAUAAUGUGGCGGGGUUAAACAUGUUAGCGGGAUCCCAACCCUCCCCAAAGUCAUUUUCAAAUUGGACUUCAUGAUAAAAUAAGAUUCUAUAUCUACUACCAAUGAAAAUGAAAUAUCCCUCUAAUAGACUAGC
This 630-nucleotide long non-coding RNA is filed under the name Mytilus galloprovincialis (Mediterranean mussel). Lineage: Eukaryota; Metazoa; Mollusca; Bivalvia; Mytilida; Mytilidae. The record is from RNAcentral.